RNAcentral lists this ribosomal RNA (422 nucleotides) under uncultured bacterium. RNAcentral describes it as "partial 16S ribosomal RNA". It matches the Rfam family "Bacterial small subunit ribosomal RNA", at positions 355 to 774 of the family's 1533-position model. RNAcentral also lists the same sequence under 1 other name. The record is from RNAcentral.
UGAGGAAUAUUGGACAAUGGGCGCAAGCCUGAUCCAGCCAUGCCGCGUGCAGGAUGACGGUCCUAUGGAUUGUAAACUGCUUUUGUACAGGAAGAAACACUCCCUCGUGAGGGAGCUUGACGGUACUGUAAGAAUAAGGAUCGGCUAACUCCGUGCCAGCAGCCGCGGUAAUACGGAGGAUCCAAGCGUUAUCCGGAAUCAUUGGGUUUAAAGGGUCCGUAGGCGGUUUAAUAAGUCAGUGGUGAAAGCCCAUCGCUCAACGGUGGAACGGCCAUUGAUACUGUUAAACUUGAAUUAUUAGGAAGUAACUAGAAUAUGUAGUGUAGCGGUGAAAUGCUUAGAGAUUACAUGGAAUACCAAUUGCGAAGGCAGGUUACUACUAAUGGAUUGACGCUGAUGGACGAAAGCGUGGGUAGCGAACA